GUAGCGUAGUAGUGUAAUAGGUUGCACACAAGUUAAUACAACUUGAGGUAUUGGUUCGAAUCCAAUCGCGCUACU
Molecule: transfer RNA, 75 nt
Filed under: uncultured phage cr49_1
Lineage: Duplodnaviria; Heunggongvirae; Uroviricota; Caudoviricetes; Crassvirales; Intestiviridae
Description: tRNA-Tyr
Rfam family: tRNA
About the family: Transfer RNA (tRNA) molecules are approximately 80 nucleotides in length. Their secondary structure includes four short double-helical elements and three loops (D, anti-codon, and T loops). Further hydrogen bonds mediate the characteristic L-shaped molecular structure. tRNAs have two regions of fundamental functional importance: the anti-codon, which is responsible for specific mRNA codon recognition, and the 3' end, to which the tRNAs corresponding amino acid is attached (by aminoacyl-tRNA synthetases). tRNAs cope with the degeneracy of the genetic code in two manners: having more than one tRNA (with a specific anti-codon) for a particular amino acid; and 'wobble' base-pairing, i.e. permitting non-standard base-pairing at the 3rd anti-codon position.
Source: RNAcentral